Mastomys coucha (southern multimammate mouse) is the source of this 853-nucleotide long non-coding RNA. RefSeq lists it as uncharacterized. The transcript is spliced from 3 exons. Lineage: Eukaryota; Metazoa; Chordata; Mammalia; Rodentia; Muridae. The record is from RefSeq and is a predicted model, not a curated record.
GCCCAGCCAGGACAGCUGGGGGUUUCAGGGCUGCAACCCAAGUCCAUUCAAGUCCUUGGCACAACUCAGUUCCAUAUGGCUGUUAACAAUGGUCCCAGACUAGCUUAGCUGUCAGCCUGGGGUCACCCUUAGCUCCCUGCCCUUUUUUCCUCUUCCAAGAAGCCACAGCAGGGAAAGGGGAUGUUUCUCAAUUUAGAAACAGGGCUGAUAAAGUAAAGCAGAGAGAAACACAGAUCCGGAUCCGAGGAAACGGUCCGGGAGCCCGUGAUCGAGAAACUUCGCUUUGCCCCAACAACUCGCACCUGCAGCGCGGCCCGAGCCGGCCGGGGCGCGGGGGACAGCGACAGCCCGGCCUUUUAUCCGCACGCGGGCUCCCGCAGCCCGGCCCUCACCGCACCGCACCGCGCCGAGCCACGCCGGGCCACGCCGCGGGCGGCUGUGGGGAAGAGGACGGGAACGCGGACGCCGCCUGACUCACGCUUAUACUCGGCCAUCAGCCUCUUGAGCGCCGUCCCCGCCAUACCGCGGAACCUGCGUUCAGCAGCCUCGCCACAUCCGCGCCGGUCCCGCCCGCUCGCCCACGGCUGCUUCCGGGUCGCGGUCUCGGGCUGCAAAUGCAUCCGGGGCGCGCGCGGGUGACGUGGCGCCGCCGGGGGAGGGCGUCAGAAAGAGGCUCGCGGGGGUCACGGCCUCCGGGCGGACGGAGCUCGGGUUCCAGAACCUUCUCGGCCGGCCUCACCCUCAGCGUUGGAGCGCGCAGCUCGCCCUGUGGCCCUUUAGUCUUGAAAAAUCCUGCGAGAGCGAAUGGCCGGCCCAUCGUGGAUCGUUCCCGAAUGAGACUCAUUACCUUGUA